RNAcentral lists this long non-coding RNA (829 nucleotides) under Homo sapiens (human). Its description in RNAcentral is "non-protein coding lnc-MEX3B-1:3". Lineage: Eukaryota; Metazoa; Chordata; Mammalia; Primates; Hominidae. The record is from RNAcentral.
GUGAGAGGAUGUCACUUUUGAGACUAGGUUAUAAAAAUACUGUGGCUUCUGUCUUGGUGUGAUCUCUCUCUUUCCCUCUGUCUUUCUCUCUCAUCACUGACUCUGGAUGGAGGCAGUCGUGUGGAGAAAUCUAUGCGGUGAGAAACUGAAGAGGGCCCCUGCCUCUGUCCACGAGUACUUGAGGCUUUCAGUCCAAUAGACCAUGAGGAACUGAGACCUGCCAACAACCACAGGAAUGAACCUAAAGCAGAUCCUCCCCAAGACGAAUCUUCAGAUGAGACUGCCGCCCUUAUCAACAUCUUGAUUGAACCUAAUAAGAGAUCUUAAGUCAGACGCACCUGGCUAAGCCACACCCUGAUUCCUGAUCCAUAAAAGCUGCCAAGAACCCCAUGUGGGGCUGUGACAGGCAGAAGGAUGGCUCCUUGAAGAUACUCAUGUCCUAAUUCCCAGAACAUGUGAAUAUGCUACUUCAACAGCAAAAGGGACGUUGCAGAUGUAAAUUACGGACCUCGAGACCGGGAGAUUAUUCUGGAUUGUCUGGUGGACCCACUGUAAUCACAAGGUUCAUAUAAGGGAAAUAGGGAAGCAGGAGAGUCGGAGAAGGAGAUGGGAUGAUGGAGGCAGAGGUUGGAGUGAUGCAAUUGCUAGCUUUGAAGGUAGAGGAAGAGACCUUAAGCCAAGGAAUGUGGGUGGCUUCUAGAAGCUAAAAAAAGGCAAACAAACAAACAAACAACAACCCUGCAACAGAUUCUUCCCUAGACCCUCCAGAAGGAACACUGCCUUGCUAACACCUUGAUUUUAGCCCAGUAAAAUUCAUUUUGAACUUCUA